RNAcentral lists this transfer RNA (71 nucleotides) under human gut metagenome. It matches the Rfam family "tRNA". Rfam says of the family: Transfer RNA (tRNA) molecules are approximately 80 nucleotides in length. Their secondary structure includes four short double-helical elements and three loops (D, anti-codon, and T loops). The record is from RNAcentral.
GGGGCGUAGCUCAGUUGGGAGAGCGCCUGCUUCGCAUGCAGGAGGUCGAGAGUUCGAAUCUCUUCGUCUCC